This 460-nucleotide ribosomal RNA is filed under the name uncultured bacterium. RNAcentral's name for it is "partial 16S ribosomal RNA". It matches the Rfam family "Bacterial small subunit ribosomal RNA", at positions 338 to 795 of the family's 1533-position model. The record is from RNAcentral.
CCUACGGGAGGCAGCAGUGAGGAAUAUUGGUCAAUGGCCGCGAGCCUGAACCAGCCAAGUCGCGUGAGGGAUGACGGCCCUACGGAUUGUAAACCUCUUUUAUCAGGGAAUAAAGCGUGGCACGUGUCCUUCUUUGUAUGUACCCUAUGAAUAAGCAUCGGCUAACUCCGUGCCAGCAGCCGCGGUAAUACGGAGGAUCCGAGCGUUAUCCGGAUUUAUUGGGUUUAAAGGGUGCGGAGGCGGCCGUUGAAGUCAGCGGUGAAAGUUUGUGGCUCAACCAUAGAAUUGCCGUUGAAACUGGAGGGCUUGAGUGCGUUUGAAGCAGGCGGAAUGCGUGGUGUAGCGGUGAAAUGCUUAGAUAUCACGCAGAACCCCGAUUGCGAAGGCAGCCUGCCAGGGCGUGACUGACGCUGAUGCACGAAAGCGUGGGUAUCGAACAGGAUUAGAUACCCUGGUAGUC